This 301-nucleotide ribosomal RNA is filed under the name uncultured bacterium. Its description in RNAcentral is "partial 16S ribosomal RNA". It matches the Rfam family "Bacterial small subunit ribosomal RNA", at positions 509 to 807 of the family's 1533-position model. The record is from RNAcentral.
CAGUCGCCGCGGUAAUACGUAGGGUGCGAGCGUUAAUCGGAAUUACUGGGCGUAAAGCGUGCGCAGGCGGUUGUGUAAGACAGGUGUGAAGUCCCCGGGCUUAACCUGGGAACUGCGCUUGUGACUGCACAGCUAGAGUAUGGCAGAGGGGGGUGGAAUUCCACGUGUAGCAGUGAAAUGCGUAGAGAUGUGGAGGAACACUGAUGGCGAAGGCAGCCCCCUGGGCCAAUACUGACGCUCAUGCACGAAAGCGUGGGGAGCAAACAGGAUUAGAUACCCCUGUAGUCCCUGUCUCUUAUAC